UAAGCACUUUAUACUGUGAAACUGCGAAUGGCUCAUUAAAUCAGUUAUCGUUUAUUUGAUAGUACCUUACUACAUGGAUACCUGUGGUAAUUCUAGAGCUAAUACAUGCUAAAAACCUCGACUUCGGAAGGGGUGUAUUUAUUAGAUAAAAAACCAAUGCCCUUCGGGGCUCCUUGGUGAUUCAUAAUAACUUAACGAAUCGCAUGGCCUUGCGCCGGCGAUGGUUCAUUCAAAUUUCUGCCCUAUCAACUUUCGAUGGUAGGAUAGUGGCCUACCAUGGUGGCAACGGGUAACGGGGAAUUAGGGUUCGAUUCCGGAGAGGGAGCCUGAGAAACGGCUACCACAUCCAAGGAAGGCAGCAGGCGCGCAAAUUACCCAAUCCCGACACGGGGAGGUAGUGACAAUAAAUACUGAUACGGGGCUCUUUUGGGUCUCGUAAUUGGAAUGAGUACAAUCUAAAUCCCUUAACGAGGAACAAUUGGAGGGCAAGUCUGGUGCCAGCAGCCGCGGUAAUUCCAGCUCCAAUAGCGUAUAUUAAAGUUGUUGCAGUUAAAAAGCUCGUAGUUGAACCUUGGGUCUGGCUGGCCGGUCCGCCUCACCGCGAGUACUGGUCCGGCUGGACCUUUCCUUCUGGGGAACCUCAUGGCCUUCACUG
RNAcentral lists this ribosomal RNA (655 nucleotides) under Aspergillus flavus. RNAcentral's name for it is "SSU rRNA". It matches the Rfam family "Eukaryotic small subunit ribosomal RNA", at positions 66 to 724 of the family's 1831-position model. The record is from RNAcentral. Lineage: Eukaryota; Fungi; Ascomycota; Eurotiomycetes; Eurotiales; Aspergillaceae.